GAUGAACGCUGGCGGCGUGCCUAAUACAUGCAAGUCGAGCGAACAGACGAGGAGCUUGCUCCUCUGACGUUAGCGGCGGACGGGUGAGUAACACGUGGAUAACCUACCUAUAAGACUGGGAUAACUUCGGGAAACCGGAGCUAAUACCGGAUAAUAUAUUGCACCGCAUGGUUCAAUAGUGAAAGACGGUUUUGCGGUCACUUAUAGAUGGAUCCGCGCCGCAUUAGCUAGUUGGUGAGGUAACGGCUUACCAAGGCAACGAGGCGUAGCCGAACUGAGAGGCUGGUAGCCCACCCGGGAACGGAGACACGCACAAGACUCCUACGGGAGGCAGCAGUAGGGAAUCUGCCGCAAUGGGCGAAAGCUUGACGGAGCAACGCCGCGUGAGUUAUGAAGGUCUUCGGAUCGUAAAACUCUGUUAUUAGUGAAGAACAAAUGUGUAAGUUACUAUGCACGUCUUGACGGUACCUAAUCAGAAAGCCACGGCUAACUACGUG
Molecule: ribosomal RNA, 497 nt
Filed under: uncultured bacterium
Lineage: Bacteria
Description: partial 16S ribosomal RNA
Rfam family: Bacterial small subunit ribosomal RNA
Source: RNAcentral